Molecule: ribosomal RNA, 497 nt
Filed under: uncultured bacterium
Lineage: Bacteria
Description: partial 16S ribosomal RNA
Rfam family: Bacterial small subunit ribosomal RNA
Source: RNAcentral
GAUGAACGCUGGCGGCGUGCCUAAUACAUGCCAGUCGAGCGAACGGACGAGAAGCUUGCUUCUCUGAUGUUAGCGGCGGACGGGUGAGUAACACGUGGAUAACCUACCUUUAAGACUGGGAUAACUUCGGGAAACCGGAGCUAAUACCGGAUAAUAUUUUGAACCGCAUGGUUCAAAAGUGAAAGACGGUCUUGCUGUCACUUAUAGAUGGAUCCGCGCUGCAUUAGCUAGUUGGUAAGGUAACGGCUUACCAAGGCAACGAUGCAUAGCCGACCUGAGAGGGUGAUCGGCCACACUGGAACUGAGACACGGUCCAGACUCCUACGGGAGGCAGCAGUAGGGAAUCUUCCGCAAUGGGCGAAAGCCUGACGGAGCAACGCCGCGUGAGUGAUGAAGGUCUUCGGAUCGUAAAACUCUGUUAUUAGGGAAGAACAUAUGUGUAAGUAACUGUGCACAUCUUGACGGUACCUAAUCAGAAAGCCACGGCUAACUACGUG